UUGAUUAAUUACAAUUUUAUUCGCCAGGGGACUACGAGCGUCAGCUUAAAACCCAAAGGACUUGGCGGUGCCCUACACCUCCUAGAGGAGCCUGUUCUAUAAUCGAUAAUCCACGAUACACCUCACCGUUUCUUGCCAAAACCGCCUAUAUACCGCCGUCUCCAACUUACCCUAUGAAGGAUUCACAGUAAGUUCAAAGAUCUUCCAUCAGAACGUCAGGUCAAGGUGUAGCGAAUGAAACGGGAAGAAAUGGGCUACAUUUUCUAUUUUUAGACCACACGGAAAAUCAGUAUGAAACCUGAUUAUGAAGGAGGAUUUAGCAGUAAAAAGAAAUCAGCAAGUUCUUUUUAAGUCGGACCUAGGGCGCGUACACACCGCCCGUCACCCUCUUCAACUCAUUUCACCCUAUUUCAUAAUAAAAUAACUGGAGAUAAGAAGAGGCAAGUCGUAACAUGGUAAGUGUACCGGAAGGUGUACUUGGAAC
This 484-nucleotide ribosomal RNA is filed under the name Oreolalax schmidti (webless toothed toad). RNAcentral's name for it is "partial 12S ribosomal RNA". It matches the Rfam family "Bacterial small subunit ribosomal RNA", at positions 848 to 1524 of the family's 1533-position model. The record is from RNAcentral. Lineage: Eukaryota; Metazoa; Chordata; Amphibia; Anura; Megophryidae.